RNAcentral lists this ribosomal RNA (423 nucleotides) under uncultured bacterium. Its description in RNAcentral is "bacterial SSU rRNA". It matches the Rfam family "Bacterial small subunit ribosomal RNA", at positions 207 to 622 of the family's 1533-position model. The record is from RNAcentral.
AAGACCUUGCGCUUUUGGAGCGGCCGAUGCCUGAUUAGCUUGUUGGUAAGGUAAAAGCUUACCAAGGCUUCGAUCAGUAGCUGGUCUGAGAGGACGGCCAGCCACACUGGGACUGAGACACGGCCCAGACUCCUACGGGAGGCAGCAGUGGGGAAUUUUGGACAAUGGGGGCAACCCUGACCCAGCCAUGCCGCGUGAGUGAAGAAGGCCUUCGGGUUGUAAAGCCCUUUCAGCCGGAACGAAACGGUUACGGUUAAUACCCGUGAUUACUGACGGUACCGGAAGAAGAAGCACCGGCUAACUACGUGCCAGCAGCCGCGGUAAUACGUAGGGUGCGAGCGUUAAUCGGAAUUACUGGGCGUAAAGCGUGCGCAGGUGGUUUUGUAAGUCAGAUGUGAAAGCCCCGGGCUCAACCUGGGAACU